AAAAUUUUAAUAGCAAAAUAAUUUAAAUAGAUUUAUCAAUCACAGAAAUUUACCAUUACCUCAAAACACCCACUUAUGAAUACUAAUAAUUAUAAUAUAUUUCAUAUAAAAAAAAUCACUAGUGGAAUAUAUGUUGUCAUGGUAACAAAACACCUUAAAACCAUGGUAACUAGUAAAACAUCAAACAAUAUCCAGCCAAGAAUGGUUUAUGACACUGUCUUCAUACACUGUUACCAUGGUGAUAAUAUGUUCUGUUUCCGCGACAAAAAAAAAUCUAAUGCUAAAACAUUACUCUGACUUGAUGAUUAUUGUUUCUCUCCUCCUAUUGCAGGUUAUUUCAAAACCAAUUGAAAUAUGUUUCCAAACCCUGUUCAAGUGGUAAGAUAUUUUAGCUAACUGCUGCAGAAGAAGCACAAAAAAGUCAUCAAUGUUAAGCAUGCAAAUAUUGAUGCAAAUAUUGAAGGUGAUGCGGUUGCCAACAAUUGCUUACAUCCACUCCAUUUGAACUUUGAUAGUUGACUAUUUUGAUAUCAUUCCACAUCUCCUUAUAUAUAAAGUAAAAUUAAAGUAUAUUUGUAAUUUCAUACGGCAAUCUGUGGAGAGUAAUAUUAACAAUCAAGUCACUCUAAUAAACCUUUACUAAACUAUAUGAAAUAUAUAUAUACAUGUGUAAAUGAUAGACUUGAUAGCAUACAAUUUGUAUAAGUUUUUAUAGAUAAUUAUUAGAAUUAACCAUAGCACAACUUAUUCUCAUAAUCAAUUCAUCCACAACUGAACAAGUUACCAAAUCAUUUAAAAGAAAUACAUUGAAAUGUCUAAUAACCAGAUUCUGGUUUAAAAAAAAAUAAAUAGCACUUUAUUUGUCUGCAUCCAAAGCCCUUUUCUGGUAAAUGACUUUUAAUGGAACUUCAAAAAGAUCAGAGGUGUAUUUUUAAAGUGUUACCACUUUUAUUAAAAUGCUGCUUAUACCUUUGAUCCCAAUUUUCAUCAAAGUCCCAUUUGAAUGAAAUCUCAUCCAAAAAUAUUUGGGAAGUGGUUCACUUAAUGAAUCAACAAUGGUGUUUAGUGGUAAGGAAUGAUAUUUGGCUUAAUAUACAAAUAGACUUUGUUUUUAAAAGGGAAAGUUGAAAGUCAGUAAAAUAGUGCAUGACAGCUUGGUUUUGGCAUGUUUUUAUCUAUACAAAGUUAAUAAGGUCAAAUGAACAAUUGUAGAAUUUCUAUCCAGGAUAUGAUGAGAUUAAAAAAAUAUCUAAGCAAUGGCAUAAAUGCCAUGGACAAUUAUUUCUCAAAGAUUCACUUAUAGCAACUUACAGUGUGAUUUAAAAAAAUAUCUUGUCUAUAAAGGAUGGUGUCCUCAAUAACCUCACUUAAAAUGCCACUUAAAGAACCUCUUUCAAAAGCAGAAAUAUAAAAUAACAAAAUCUGAGAUCAUAUUUCUCUUUAACCCUGUUUACACUGGCAAACAAAAUUGAAUCGAUUUUAAAAAGACCAGUUCGCGUUUACAUUGCACAAGCAAGAUCGAUUGAGAUCGACCGUAUUUAAUCCAGUGUGUUUACACUGCAACAUAAAAAGAACUGGUCUGACCUUUAUUUUCAUAUCUAA
RNAcentral lists this long non-coding RNA (1602 nucleotides) under Mytilus galloprovincialis (Mediterranean mussel). The record is from RNAcentral. Lineage: Eukaryota; Metazoa; Mollusca; Bivalvia; Mytilida; Mytilidae.